UCAAGAGGUUUUGAAACUGGUCUGUACGUUGUACGGAAAAUGGAAAGAAAACCUAGAGGAAGGAGAUAGAGAGAGUGUCAAUGGGGAGAGAGAAAGGGAGAGUGUGUGUGUCCACGUGGGUCACCAACCAAAACCAACAAAAUCUUCCUUCUAAUUGGGUCCAAUUAGUUAGGAAUAGAACUAAUUGGUCCUCAAGCUUAAGUUUAACUCACACUCCACAAUAAAACUCAACAUCCAAGGGUAUAUAAGUAAUUUCACACCAUCGAAAAAUAAAUAUUUCGAGAUGGGCUGUCAUAACAUCGUAACAUCCCACAUCGCUCAAGAGAGUGGAUCAUGUAAGCCUUAUAUGUAUAUUCACAUCUCUACCUAGCACGAGGCAUUUUGGGAACUCACUGGCUUCGGG
This 403-nucleotide long non-coding RNA is filed under the name Malus domestica (apple). Its description in RNAcentral is "long non-coding RNA (MDOM_LNC000254)". Lineage: Eukaryota; Viridiplantae; Streptophyta; Magnoliopsida; Rosales; Rosaceae. The record is from RNAcentral.